AUAUUGAAUCAUGUUUUUUUUACUGCAAUGAUUUCCCCUACUUUAGCUGCCUCCGUUUCUUACCAUCCACUCUUGAGCAUUUGAGUUCCCAUCUUGUGGCGGCUUUUAUGAUCUAUUGCAGGAUGGAUUACUCGCGGAUAAGAAAGAUACCCAGAAACCUGAGCAAUCAAGACACGUGAAGGUUACCUUACCCAUUGACUGUCAACCAGUGAUACCACGUAGAGAUACAGUCUAUCAGUCAAUCUCUCUCUCUCUCU
Molecule: long non-coding RNA, 257 nt
Filed under: Spirodela polyrhiza (greater duckweed)
Lineage: Eukaryota; Viridiplantae; Streptophyta; Magnoliopsida; Alismatales; Araceae
Description: long non-coding RNA (SPOL_LNC000289)
Source: RNAcentral